Molecule: ribosomal RNA, 254 nt
Filed under: uncultured bacterium
Lineage: Bacteria
Description: partial 16S ribosomal RNA
Rfam family: Bacterial small subunit ribosomal RNA
Source: RNAcentral
UACGUAGGGUGCAAGCGUUUGUCCGGAAUUAUUGGGCGUAAAGAGCUCGUAGGCGGUCUGUCGCGUCUGCUGUGAAAACUCGGGGCUUAACCCCGGGCCUGCAGUGGGUACGGGCAGACUAGAGUGCGGUAGGGGAGAUUGGAAUUCCUGGUGUAGCGGUGGAAUGCGCAGAUAUCAGGAGGAACACCGAUGGCGAAGGCAGAUCUCUGGGCCGUAACUGACGCUGAGGAGCGAAAGCAUGGGGAGCGAACAGG